CGGCAACAGCUCAAAUUUGAAAUCUGGCGCAAGCCCGAGUUGUAAUUUGUAGAGGAUGCUUCUGGGUAGCGACCGAUCUAAGUUCCUUGGAACAGGACGUCAUAGAGGGUGAGAAUCCCGUAUGUGACCGGCCCGCACCCUUUACGUAGCUCCUUCGACGAGUCGAGUUGUUUGGGAAUGCAGCUCUAAAUGGGAGGUAAAUUUCUUCUAAAGCUAAAUACCGGCCAGAGACCGAUAGCGCACAAGUAGAGUGAUCGAAAGAUGAAAAGUACUUUGGAAAGAGAGUUAAAAAGCACGUGAAAUUGUUGAAAGGGAAGCGCCUGCAACCAGACUUCGCGGCAGUGUUCCGCCGGUCUUCUGACCGGUUCAUUCUCUGUCGCGAGGCCAUCAUCGUCUGGGCCCGCCGGAUAAGACCUGAGGAAUGUGGCUCCCCCUCGGGGGAGUGUUAUAGCCUCUGGUGAUGCGGCGAGGCUCGGGCGAGGUCCGCGCUUCGGCAAGGAUGAUGGCGUAAUGGUUGUCGGCGGCCCGUCUUGAAACACGGACCAAGGAGUCUAACAUCUAUGCGAGUGUUCGGGUGUCAAACCCCUACGCGUAAUGAAAGUGAACGGAGGUGGGAACCGCAAGGUGCACCAUCGACCGAUCCUGAUGUCCUCGGAUGGAUUUGAGUAAGAGCAUAGCUGUUGGGACCCGAAAGAUGGUGAACUAUGCCUGAAUAGGGUGAAGCCAGAGGAAACUCUGG
RNAcentral lists this ribosomal RNA (739 nucleotides) under Cercospora senecionis-walkeri. Its description in RNAcentral is "eukaryotic LSU rRNA". It matches the Rfam family "Eukaryotic large subunit ribosomal RNA", at positions 99 to 867 of the family's 3401-position model. The record is from RNAcentral. Lineage: Eukaryota; Fungi; Ascomycota; Dothideomycetes; Mycosphaerellales; Mycosphaerellaceae.